This is a non-coding RNA of Sus scrofa (pig), 344 nucleotides long. The record is from RefSeq and is a predicted model, not a curated record. NCBI's taxonomy places the organism in Eukaryota, Metazoa, Chordata, Mammalia, Artiodactyla, Suidae.
UUCAGAGCCGGCCGCACAUUCUACUAUUUUCUCGAGUCUGUGGUGUGCCUAUCUGCUCCCCACUGGAAGCUCUCCGAGGGCAGGAAUGGGGUGCCCAGGGCCUCUACAUCCCCAGGGCCUGUUAUGGGGCCCUUGCAAACUAUGGAACCUUCCUCGUGUCUGCGGAAUAAAUACACAGGUACCUGUGAUGGCCACCUUUUGGAUGUUACCCCCCUGCCCCAGCCUCCUUUGAGGGACCCCAGAGGCCACCUCCCAACAGCCCACUGGGGCCUGAACACAUUGAAGAACUCUGGGAUAUGGAGAUCAUUUGUGACCUGAUAGCAGAGAUCACCUCAGCAUUGUCA